Molecule: non-coding RNA, 29 nt
Filed under: Rattus norvegicus (Norway rat)
Lineage: Eukaryota; Metazoa; Chordata; Mammalia; Rodentia; Muridae
Source: RNAcentral
UGGGAGAUUUUUGCCCCAGCAAAGUUUCA